This 7156-nucleotide long non-coding RNA is filed under the name Homo sapiens (human). RNAcentral's name for it is "HSALNT0228974". The stretch from base 2375 to 2522 matches the Rfam family "Metazoan signal recognition particle RNA". Lineage: Eukaryota; Metazoa; Chordata; Mammalia; Primates; Hominidae. The record is from RNAcentral.
AGGUCAGCCACCUGCAGCCAAGGAGAGAGGCCUCUGAGGAAACCAACCCUGCCAGCACUUUGAUCUUGAACUUCCAGCCUCCAGAACUGUGAGAAAGUAUAUUCCUGUUGUUUAAGCCACCCAGUCUAUGGCAUUUUGUUUUGGCAGCUUUAGCAGACUAAUAUACUUCCCCAUUCCCCCACAGUGCUUCCUGGGGUCAAUUCUCAGAUAAAUGAUUUGCACUUUAAUCCUUAUCUCAGGGGCCAGGUGGGAGGGGGCUCACGCCUGUAAUCCCAGCACUUUGGGAAGCCGAGGUGGGCAGAUCACCUGAGGUCAGGAGUUCAAGAGCAGCCUGACCAACAUAGUGAAACAUCGUCUCCACUAACUUUACAAAAUGUAGCUGGGUGGGGCGGCACAUUGCUGUAGUCCCAGCUACUCAGGAGGCUGAGGCAGGAGAAUCCCUUGAACCCGGGAGGUGGAGGUUGCAGUGAACUGAGAUCGUGCCACUGCACUACAGCCUGGGUGACAGAGUGACUUCGUCUAAAAAAAAAAAAAUUAUCUCAGGAAACCAACUCGCAGACCAACAACGCAUAUAUGGUGGGACAUAGACCCCAAGUAAGAGUGAAGCGAAGACUCAACUUUAACCACCACCCUCUAAGUUUCUUUUGAGGAGCUUGGAGAACGUCACUCCCUGUGGGUCUAAGUGGUACAGGCGCUAAAAAAUUAUUUAGGCAGAUAGUGAGGGUAAGGAAGUCCUCGGCUGUUUCCCUUUUAACAAAAAGCAGUCCCUAAAUCAUUUAUUUUCUAACAAAGAGCAGCCUGUAAAAUCGAGCUGCAGACAUAGAUAAGCAAGCUGGAAGCUUGCAUGGGUGAAUGCAGCAGCUGUGCCAAUAGGAAAAGGCUACGUGGCGGCCAGGCAUGUUCAACAUGGCGGCUCCAUCUUCCCUUUUCUUUGUCAACUAGGUGUACAGUAAGGAACCGACAACAUCACACCGGCCAGGUAGAGAAGCCAUUUGCAUAAUAGAAGAUUAGGGUGGGGUGGCCAGCUUCUUUGCGCGCUUUGUAAACAUCACACCUAGUCCACCAAUCUUUGGGCCCUAUGUAAAUUAGACAACACCUCCUCAAGCCAGUCUAUAAACCCUCCCCUCCCCGCACAUGCAUUUCACCGCAAAACCCAAAGACCCACUUAGGUGUCCCCUCUCUCCGCAGAAGAGAGAGCUUUUCCCUUUCUCUCUGUUAAACCUCUUCUCUUAAACUCACUUCUUGCGUGUCCUCGUCCUCGAUUUCCUUGGCGUAAGACGACGAACCUCAGGCAUUUACCCCAGACAACGAAGGUGCUUCAUAAGGUCAUGCAGCUGGGUCAACAUAGGACUGUGUAGCCAAGAGCUACAGGAUGGAUUGCUGAGGCCAGGGAGAUUGAAAGGAAGUCACAGCCCAAUCUCAGAGGGAUCCACGGAGCCAGCGAAAGCUAAGGCGGGACUUACCCAACAGAGGGUCCUGGCCCAGUCACCCAGUGGCACAACCCAACUGGGAGAUCUGAGCAUCUACCAACUGUGGCCACCAGUGAGAUGGUGUCAUUGUCUGGGAGGCCAGCAGAAGUCUCAGUGAUCGGGCAGGACAAAGGACAUUUCUGCAGAGAAUACUGAAGGUCCAGGAGACAGCACAGUGGGACAUAUGUGGGCCCCUGCCCCAUCAUUAGGAGGAAGUGUAGGCUUUUCUGAGGACCUGGAUGCCAUACCAUCUUGAGACAGAGAAUGAGGAACCAACCCUUGACAAGAGAGAGAUGGCCCUGGUAGAGAAUUUGAACCUUGAAUUGGAUUGAAUAUUUAUCCAAAAGAAAUUGAACCAGCACUAGAGAGACUGUUUUGAACUAGAAGUAACCAAGUUACCUUAACUGGAAGUUAGGAUUUUUCCACCCCUGACAUCAGUGGGACAAGGGCACAUGAGCAAGAUAUUUACGGACAAAGAAGAACGUUCAUGUUUUGUACACCUGCUUUGUAGUAUGUUGCAGAUACCGUUGGUUCCCCUGAUUUCAGGUGUUCUCGUUCUUUCUGUACAGUCACUUGCUCAGGGCAAAUGGUCCUCUCCUGCAUGACUCAGAAGCACAUACUGAUUAUUCUAAACUGGUCUUCAUGCCCCGUUCCCUUGUCAGUGAUGUAGUUAGGCAAAGGAUUAUGUAACAAUUCUGGCUAUGAGACAUUGAAACUUCUACUGUGGGGCAUCUGGGAAGAUUUUUCUCAUUGAAAAGAAGAGACGCAGGGUGUGGAGACUCAUGCCUGUAAUCCGAGCCCUUGGGAGGCCCAGGAGGGAGGGUCACCUGAGUCCAAGAGCUCAAGGCCAGUUCGAGCAACAUACCAAGGCUGCAAUAAACAAGCAAACAAACAAACAAACAUUAGCUGGGCACGGUAGUGCACACCUGUAGUCCCAGCUACUCAGGAGGCUGAAAUGGGAGGAUUGCUUGAGCCCAGGAGUUUGAGGCUGCAGUGAGCUAUGAUUGCACCACUGCACUUCAGCCUGGGCAACAGAGCGAGAUCCUGUCUCUAUAAAAAAAUUUUAAAAAAAGGAAGAAAAGAAAAGAAGAGACACACGUGGAAGAAACAGUCUCUAUUCUGAUGCAAGUAAUGACUGGAACUGUGGCAGACAGCUUGGAACCAUGAGAGGAGUUAACUGAGGGCUAUCAGGGAAACUAGAAGAAGCCUGGGUCCUUGAGGAGGCAGACUACUAAAUGGACCAUCGUCCCUUCACCCUUUUUGUUAUGUGAGAUAAUAAACUCUCUAAUUUAAAUCUACUUGAGAUGAAUAUCUGAUACUUGUAGCCAAAAUCAUCCUUAAUGGGACAGAGUGUGGGUAAAUUAUCAACCUUGCUAGCCUUGCCUCAUAAUUUUUGAAUUUAUUUUUAUCUUUUAAUUUUGUUUAUUUUUUAUUUUUAAAGUAGAGACAGGAUCUCAUUAUGUUGCUCAGGCUGGUCUCGAAUCCCUGGCCUCAAGGGAUCCUCCUGCCUCAGCCUCCUAAAGUGCUGAGAUUACAGGUAUGAGCCCCUAUGCCAGGCCAUUGCUUUGCCAUUGUAUCCAUGUGAUUGCAAAAAAGAAAAUCGUGCUAAUAGUCAUUAGCUUUGAAAGACACUUGGAAUUUCUUCCUUCAAGCGAGCUUUAUUCCCAAACUGUUGAACCCUCUGGGUUUGACAGCAGGAUCUACUUCACAUGGUAGCAUCUCCUUCUAUUUGCCUUCAAGACAUUUCCUAAGGGAAGAGAUGAAGACACACUUGUAACGUGAACAAAAUAAUCCUUUUUCCUUUUAAAAAUGUAUGAUUAAAAUGUAAAAUAUAUAUAUAUAUUCUUAAAUGUAAAAUAUAUAUAUAUAUCUUCUAGAGUUGCCUGGAAAGUGAGCUGAGAGCAGUUAAACAUCAAACCCACUGCUGCUUUCCAGCUUUAACCAGAAUCACCAUUGUCUUUCCCUAUGAAAGAAAGGAAAUCUUAGAACUUAAAAGGAUUUCAAGAAGAACUGAAUUUUAACCACUGAGAUGACCAGAGAUGUAAGGCUCACACUGACUGAAGCAGUAUAAUUUGGCUGUCUUUUUAACAUUCAGAAUUCUCUCUGACUCUCCAAAAUUGCAUCUACUUUGAUGAGCUUAUUUUUUUCCUCAACCAAAUUACAUUUCUUGGAGUUCACCUGAUACAUCAUGCCUACUUACUUUUUUUUUUAGAUGGAGUCUUGCUCUGUCACCCAGGCUGGAGUGCAGUGGUGCAAUCUCGGCUCAUUGCAACCUCUGCCUCCCAGGUUCAAGUGAUUCUCCUGCCUCAGCCCCCCAAGUAGCUGGGAUUACAGGUGCGUGCCACCACGCCCAGCUAAUUUUUGUAUUUUUAGUAGAGACAGGGUUUCGCCAUGUUGGUCAGGCUGGUCUCGAACUCCUGACCUCAAGUGACCCACCUGCCUUGGCCUCCCAAAGCGCUGGGAUUACAGGGGUAAGCCACCAUGUCCAGCCCUGCCUACUUACUUUGAACAAAUUAUUUCAGGCUAAUUUACUAGCUGGAGAGAAAGAGGGAGGGAAGCAGGGAGGAAGCAAAGAUAGAGGGAGAGAAAGAGAGGGAGACAGAGAGGAAGAGGGAGAGGGAGAGGAGAGAGAGAGAAAGAAUGAAUUGUGUUCUCCCAAAAUUAGUAUGUUGAAGUCUUAAUAUCCCAGUACCUCAGACUAUGACUGUAUCUGUAGAUAGGGCUUUUGAAAAGGUGAUUAUGUUUAAAUGAGGCCAUUGGGGUGGGCCCUAAUCCAGUCCAACUGUUGUCAUUGUAAGAAGAAGAGAUUAGGACACAGAGAUACCAGGCAUGUGCGUGCCCAGACAGACAACUAUGUGAAGAGACAACAAUAGGUCAGCCAUCUGCAAGCUGAGGAGAGAGGCCUCAGAGGAAACCAACCCUGCCGGCACCUUGAUCUUGGAGUUCCAGCCUCCAGAACUUGCUGCUUGAGCAUCCACACAACAUGGCGCUAGCUUCCCCCAGAGGCCGCCUGAAAGCUUGUACAAGUGCCUGAGGAAAGCCGGAUUUGGCAGGCUGCAACCACGGUGGAUGACAGCUGAAGGAGAAUUACAGCAGCAGCAGUUAAGUAGAAGAUGUUCACACUUCCUCGCUCUGCAUCUUUCUUCCUGGAGCCCAACACCUCGGAGGAGAAUGGGAAACCCAGAAGAAGGAGUGGGAAGUAGGGUUGCCACAUAAAAUAUAGGACUCUCAGUUACAUUUGAAUUUCAGAUAAGCAGCAGAUUAUUUCUUAGUAUAAGUAUGUGCCAGUAUGUGUGUAUGUGCACACAUAUGUGCACAUGUAUGCAUGCAUCAGCUAGAUUCUGCAACCAUCAGAGAAAUAGACAAAGGUCCUUUUGACCAGUGGUCAAACUGAGCUAUGAGGAGAAGAUCUUGAAAUUGCAUGUGAUAUUGAAGCUUUAAACUUACUGAGUUGCUUGUGUUAGGCUUUUAAAUACCGUAAUGGGACUAAAAACUAUGUUUCUAAGAGAGAGGAAUAUUUGGGAGUACAGCUGACCCUUGAACAAUGCAAGGCUUAGAGGCAUUGUCAAAAAUCCACAUGUAACUUUUGACUCCACAAACAUUUAACUAUUUUUCUUGUCUUUUUUCUUUUUUUUUUUUUGAGAUGGAGUCUCACUCUGUCUCCCAGGCUGGAGUGCAGUGGGGUGAUCUCAGCUCACUGCAACCUUCACCUCCCAGGUUCAAGCAAUUCUCAAGCCUCAGCCUCCUGAGUAGCUGGGAUUACAGGUGUGCACAAAGAUGCCUGGCUAAUUUUUGUAUUUUCAGUAGAGAUGGGGUUUCACCAUGCUGGCCAGGCUGGUCUUGGACUCCUGACCUCACGUGAUCUGCCCACCUUGGCCUCCCAAAGUGCUGGGAUUACAGGCAUGAGCCACGGCAUCUGCCCAAAAACUGAACUAUUAGUAGCCUACUGUUGACUGGAAGUCUUACUGAUAACAUAGUCAAUUAACACAUGUUUUGUGUUAUAUGUAUUAUAUACUAUAUUCUUACAAUAAAGCAAGCUAGAGAAAAUAGAAUAUUAAGAAAAUCAUAAGGAAAAUAUAUUUAGGAUUCUUUUUUUUUUGAGAUGGAGUCUUGCUGUGUCACCCAGGCUGGAAUGCAGUGGUCAGCCUUCCAACGUGCUGAGAUUACAGGCGUGAGCCACUAUGCCCGGCCAUAUUUACUAUUCAUUAAGUGGAAGCGGAUCAUCAUAGAUGACUUCAUCCUCAUCCUCUUCACACUGAAUAGGGUGAAGAGGAGGAGGAAGAGGAGGGGUUGGUCUCACUGUCUCAAGGGUGGCAGAGGCAGAAGAAAAUCCAGGUAGAAGUGGACCCAAGCAGUUCAAAUCCAUGCUGUUCAGGGGUCAACUGGGUCAACUGUGUAGUUAAAGGUAGUGAGUAGUUGGAGAAAAAUGAAACUGCUUUCGUGUUUAUACCUUCACUGAGUUCAGACCUCGUAAUAAACUGGGUAUCUGUAUGUGUGACAAACAAUAGAGGAGAUGUGUGUGCAGGGUGUUCAAGGGGCUUUUGCAUCUUUGCUGGUGAUCACAAAUAGGGCUUUAAUUCUUGGACUUGAAGAGCUGCAGGAGCCAUUGAAAGGAUACAUGGAGCUAGUUGAAUACCACAUUAUCAUUUAGCAAGUGAUAUUUAGCUCUAUUCCUGUGGAUGAACCCUGAUUAGGAUCUUAAGUUUGUAUGUUGUUGGAGAUUAUUCUUGUUUGUCUUGGAAAUGAACAUUCAUUCAUUCGUUCUGGUGCCUAGCAUAGACAAUAAAUCACAAUUCAAAUAAUGAAAAAUUAUAUAUUUAUUUAUUAAGCAUCUACUGCAUGUAGGUUCUGUGUUAGAUGCACAAAAAUGAAUACCAUAAAAUCCUUUACUAAAACGCCAUUCCUGUCUUUGAGUGGAAAAUGUAGCAGCUACGGGAAUUAAGUUAUAUGGUAGCAUGUGUGGUUACCUACUUGACGGAGACAGAAUCCACAUUAUCAGGUGUGGUCAGAUGAGGGAUUCUCUGCCUGGAGAAGUUGUCAUGGACAAGGUAGGAUUUAAUUUAGGUUGUAAAAGAAUACCAGGAUUUAGGGACUCCUAAAGACAGAGACUGUAUAUCCCUCAUCAGAUCAGCCACUCUUUUCUUUUUUUUUUUUUUUUUUUUUGAGACAGUUUCGCUCUUGUUGCCCAGGCUUGAUUGCAAUGGUGCGAUCUCGGCUCACUGCAACCUCCACCUCCUGGGUUCAAGCGAUUCUCCUGCCUCAGCCUCCCGAGUAACUGGACUACAGGCGCCUGCCACCACACCCAGCUAAUUUUUUGUAUGUUUAGUAGAGGUGGGGUUUCACUAUGUUGGCCAGGCUGGUCUCGAACUCCUGACCUCAGACAAUCCCCCCGCCUCGGCCUCCCAAAGUGCUGGGAUUACAGGCGUGAGCCACUGUGCCCAGCCAACCAGAUCAGCCAUUCUAAGGCCAAGAGUUGCAUUACUCUUUUCUCUGUUUCUUGGAAACAUGACUGGAGGACUUGCUGUAAAAAAUAUUAAGACUUAUUAUGAUAAAGCUAUGGUAAUAACAAGGUGUAGUGUUAGAAUGAACCUGGGCAACAUGGCAAAAUCUUGUCUGUGAAAAAUAUCAAAAAUUAGGUCAGGUGCGGUGGCUCACGCCUGUAAUCCCAGCACUUUGGGAGUCUGAGG